UCAGUCGGCCGGGCGGCCGCUCCGCUUGUCGGAGAGGAAAGUCCGGGCUCCAUGGAAGUACGGUGCCGGAUAACGUCCGGCGGGGGUAACCCUAGGGAAAGUGCCACAGAAAGCAGACCGCCCCGCUCAUGCGGGGUAAGGGUGAAAGGGUGCGGUAAGAGCGCACCGCGGACGCAGUAAUGCGGACGGCACGGCAAACCCCACCGGGAGCAAAACCGAAUAGGGACGACAGGCGUUCGCGCCAGGCCCGUUUCCAGGCUCGUCGUCCGGGUUGGUUGCUUGAGGCGGUCAGCAAUGACCGUCCCAGAGGAAUGGCCGCCACGUCCGGGGUUCGCGCCCCGGGCCCUACAGAACCCGGCUUACAGGCCGGCUGACAAC
Molecule: RNase P RNA, 378 nt
Filed under: Microvirga sp. 17 mud 1-3
Lineage: Bacteria; Pseudomonadati; Pseudomonadota; Alphaproteobacteria; Hyphomicrobiales; Methylobacteriaceae
Description: RNase P RNA component class A
Rfam family: Bacterial RNase P class A
About the family: Ribonuclease P (RNase P) is a ubiquitous endoribonuclease, found in archaea, bacteria and eukarya as well as chloroplasts and mitochondria. Its best characterised activity is the generation of mature 5'-ends of tRNAs by cleaving the 5'-leader elements of precursor-tRNAs.
Source: RNAcentral